Molecule: long non-coding RNA, 1469 nt
Organism: Ahaetulla prasina
Lineage: Eukaryota; Metazoa; Chordata; Lepidosauria; Squamata; Colubridae
Exons: 3
Source: RefSeq, a predicted model, not a curated record
GUCACUUCCUGGUCUCCUGCCUGCCUUGAGAACUCUGAUAGGACUUUGGCAGAGCUGCAGAGGCACGCUUGCUACGGACUUCCCCGACCUGGCCGUCAGCGAGGAGUGGGAUAUGACAUUUAUCCAGCUCGUGUGAACCAGUAGCGCCGGCAGUGGGAGGCUCCGCUCACCCACCAGGACAUCAUUAUGUCCCGUUUUUGACCCUCUGCACAUGCAUAGAAGGCUCUGUGCAUGCGCAGAAGAGGCACGCACGCUCACAUUCCCAAACCGGUAAUGAAGGAAACACCAUCUUACUUAUGUUCAUGGGAGUUCAUCUUGAUAUGGCAGGAUAUCCCAAAGCUUUCUCGGCACCUUUGCCAAAUUGCAUUAUUUAUGCCAUUAUUGCAGUGCUCACCUUGCGCUUCUAUUUACUUUUCUCCAUCUGUGACUACUCAGUCCCAACGCAAGCACAGACUGAGCCUGUUUGCAGGGACAAAAACAAGGCGAUGAUCACAUCGAGUUAUUUUAUGUAUGUGCCUCAAUAAGGAGCAAUUGACCGUACCUUGCUAAAAAUAGUGGAAACUGCAACUUGCAUCUCAAUAUUAGUUAACAAAAAUAGUAUUGUUGUUUUAAAGACUAAAAGAAGUUAGAGCCCAGCAGAUGUAGAUCUUUUUCUGUGUAUUUCUCAUUCUUUUCCUGGAUUUUAGGUAGGAUAGCUCCAGUGGUGGAUUCGGUUGGUUCGGCCGAACCAGUAGUUAAAUUGCUGGCUGGCCCCUCCCCGCUCUUCCCCUUCCAGGAGUCACCCUGCGCCCCAUUUUGGCUCCCAGGUAAGUGCAGGGAGGCCUACUAGGCCCAAAAUGGGGCAUGGGGCUGCAGUGCGCCCUCUGUGGCCCAUUUUCACUCCCAGGAGGCUGCAAGGAGACCUACUAAGCCCAAAAUGGGGCAAGGGGCAAGGCAUCCCCCCAUGGCCUGUUUUUGCUCCCAGGAGGCUGCAAGGAGGCCUACUAGACCCAAGUUAGAACACACGGGGGUGGGGGUGCGGUGCCUCCUCGCGGCCCGUUUUUGCUCCCAGGAGGCUGCAGAGAGGCCGAGUGCUGCCUGUCACACCCUCUGGCCACGCUCACCAUGGCUACGCCCACCCCAGUCAAUCAUUAGGGCAGAGAACCGGUUGUUAAAUUAUUUGAAUCCCACCACUGGAUAGCUCCCUUGGAGACUGGUUCCAAAGUAAAUCUCAUACACUGAAAUUUUACAUUUGAGGAGGUUCACAAUGCCUCCUGGGAGGAAACAAUCUGAAAAAACAUAAUUUUCAAGUUGCAAACAUUACCCUCUCAUAAAAUGUGUGUGGCAAAUUGUGAAAAUAAUACUGGAAAAAUAAGGCAGGUAUCUACAAACUAGGUAUCUAUAUAAAUAAACUGAAAAGGUCCAAAACUGCACUAAACUACAGAAAUAUCCAGAUACUCAUACAAUAUUCAGCUGUUGUUCUUCAUUGA